GUGUGGAUACCUGGGUUACUUGUUAAAAUGCAGAUUCUGAUUUGGAAUCUUUGGUGGGACCUGAGAAUCUUCAUUUUGAGCAGGCUCCUGAGUGAUGCCAAA
Molecule: microRNA precursor, 102 nt
Filed under: Marmota monax (woodchuck)
Lineage: Eukaryota; Metazoa; Chordata; Mammalia; Rodentia; Sciuridae
Source: RNAcentral